GGGGCCGUAGCUCAGUUGGGAGAGCAUCACACUGGCAGUGUGAGGGUCAGGGGUUCAAGUCCCCUCGGCUCCACCA
This 76-nucleotide transfer RNA is filed under the name Chloroflexaceae bacterium. RNAcentral describes it as "tRNA-Ala". It matches the Rfam family "tRNA". Rfam says of the family: Transfer RNA (tRNA) molecules are approximately 80 nucleotides in length. Lineage: Bacteria; Bacillati; Chloroflexota; Chloroflexia; Chloroflexales; Chloroflexaceae. The record is from RNAcentral.